UCAACUCUUCUCUAUUUUGAUCAAAACGGAGCUCCGAAAUGUAGAAGACGAUUAUCUGAUCAAAACCUAAAUGCAUGAUUCGAUUUGAUCGGAGCUUUUUUUAUCCCAAUUCUCUCUCUCUCUCUAACGGCGUGCUUCUUCUUCUUCUUCUUCUUCUUUUUCUUCUUCUCUGUUUCUUUGUCCUCGCUUCGCAUUCGGAACAGGACGACGUCGUUUGGAUUUGAAAUCGAUUUCGAGCUUGAGAAAUGUUGAAAAUGGAGCUGUCGUUCCCCGAGGAGGUGUUGGAGCACGUGUUCUCGUUCCUGCAAUUGGACGGCGACCGGAACUCGAUCUCGCUGGUUUGCAAGUCGUGGUUCGAGAUCAAGCGGUGAGAUGAAAAUUCAGAGCUUCGGUUUAUGCAUUAUUGGUAAUUUGUGAGUGCUUCUUAUCCUUUCUUCAAUCGCAUCGGAAAUUUUUGUUUUUGUUUUUACUAUUCUCGCUAUUCAUUUGAUUUUGGCGCUUGGCUUGGAGAAGUGGUGUGGACGCUAGCUAAGUGUGCUUCGUUAAUUCAAAGCAAGGAAGACGAGGUGUACAAGCGGCUACUUUGUAUGGUUGAGGAGUUGGGUCUUUGGUUUAGAAAUGUUGAAGUCGGAAUUGCAACAUGGUGGGUUAAAAUGUGGGGGUACCCUGCGAAAGCGUGCUACCAGGCUUUUUAUGCUUAAAUCUACCCCAUAGAGAAAAUUCCAAAGAAGCUGCUAGCAAAGAAAUGAGUACGUGAUGUGCUUCAUUUAACCCUUUAUAGAGCAAGUUUCUCCUUCAAUGUAUGAAUAGUGGCUGAAUUGUGUAACUAUAUAUUUGAAUCUAUAAGGUUCCUAGUUGUUGACUAUGUACUGUUGUGUACCAUUAUCCUUCGUGGAUAAUGUUGGUGGUUGUACACUUUUUUGUUUGACGUAUAAUGAAUGCAAUAUAACAAGGAUUGACAGUGA
Long non-coding RNA from Rosa chinensis, 965 nucleotides. RefSeq lists it as uncharacterized. The transcript has 2 exons. NCBI's taxonomy places the organism in Eukaryota, Viridiplantae, Streptophyta, Magnoliopsida, Rosales, Rosaceae. The record is from RefSeq and is a predicted model, not a curated record.